AUGUUUUGGUAAAUGCUUGAUUUUACAAGGUAGCGCAAAUUAAUAUUAAAGUUACCACAAAUUUAAUUUAUUCUUCUGUGAUUAAUAUUGGCUUAAAAAGACUAGCAUCUUGUCAUGCGGUGGGAGGUCAGGUUAGACUGAAUCAUGUUCAAAAUAACGAAAGAUCGGGUUGGAUCGAGUCAUCUUUGAAGUGGCGUGAGGCUAGUGAGAUCGAAUCACAAUUUAAAUUUGUGGAUACUGUAUCAACACGCUUUAAGUGAAUUAAUUACGUAUUUUUAAUAGUUUGAAAUUUUGAAAUUAAUGAUUAACGCCAACAAUCCGAUAAUUCAAAAACUAUUUUAGCUGACCA
RNAcentral lists this long non-coding RNA (349 nucleotides) under Ananas comosus (pineapple). RNAcentral describes it as "long non-coding RNA (ACOM_LNC013912)". Lineage: Eukaryota; Viridiplantae; Streptophyta; Magnoliopsida; Poales; Bromeliaceae. The record is from RNAcentral.